GUGCCAGCCGCGCGGUAAUACGUAGGUGGCAAGCGUUGUCCGGAAUUAUUGGGCGUAAAGGGCUCGCAGGCGGUUCCUUAAGUCUGAUGUGAAAGCCCCCGGCUCAACCGGGGAGGGUCAUUGGAAACUGGGGAACUUGAGUGCAGAAGAGGAGAGUGGAGUUCCACGUGUAGCGGUGAAAUGCGUAGAGAUGUGGAGGAACACCAGUGGCGAAGGCGACUCUCUGGUCUGUAACUGACGCUGAGGAGCGAAAGCGUGGGGAGCGAACAGGAUUAGAUACCCUUGUAGUCC
This 291-nucleotide ribosomal RNA is filed under the name uncultured prokaryote. RNAcentral's name for it is "partial 16S ribosomal RNA". It matches the Rfam family "Bacterial small subunit ribosomal RNA", at positions 505 to 796 of the family's 1533-position model. The record is from RNAcentral.